This 406-nucleotide ribosomal RNA is filed under the name uncultured bacterium. Its description in RNAcentral is "partial 16S ribosomal RNA". It matches the Rfam family "Bacterial small subunit ribosomal RNA", at positions 30 to 526 of the family's 1533-position model. The record is from RNAcentral.
AUUGAACGCUGGCGGCAGGCCUAACACAUGCAAGUCGAACGAGCGGCGGACGGGUGAGUAAUGUCUGGGAAACUGCCUGAUGGAGGGGGAUAACUACUAUAAACGGUAGCUAAUACCGCAUACCAUCCGUUGUGCCCAGAUGGGAUUAGCUAGUAGGUGGGGUAAUGGCUAACCAAGGCGAAGAUCCCUAGCUGGUCUGAGAUGAUGACCGGCCAAACUGGGACUGAGACACGGCCCAGACUCCUACGGAAGGCAGCAGGGGGGAAUAUUGCACAAUGGGCGCAAGCCUGAUCGAGCGAUGCCGCGUGAGUGAAGAAGGCUUUCGGGUUGUAAAGCACUGUCAGUGAGGAGGCGUUACUCGAAGAAGAAGCCCCGGCUAACUCCGUGCCAGCAGCCGCGGUAAUUC